CUCCGUUAGAGUACUCCUGUCUGUGUCUCUUUCUCUCUGUCACUUAGAGUACUCCCAUCUGUGUGUGUGUGUCUCUCUCUCUGUUACUGAGAGUACUCCUGUCUGCAUCUCUCUGUUACUGAGAGUACUCCUGUCUGGGUCUCUCUCUCUGCUAUUGAGAGUACUCCUGUCUGCAUCUCUCUCUGUUACUUAGAGUGCUCCUGUCUGCGUCGCUCUCUCUCCGUUACUUAUAGUACUCCUGUCUGUGUAUCUCUCUCUCUGUUACUUAGAGUACUCCCGUCUGCAUCUCUCUGUCAGAGUACUCCUGUCUGCGUCUCUCUCUCCGUUACUUAUAGUACUCCUGUCUGCAUCUCUCUCUCUCUGUUACUUAGAUUACUCCCGUCUGCAUCUCUCUCUCUGUCAGAGUACUCCUGUCUGUGUCUCUCUCUGUUACUGAGAGUACGCCUGUCUGUCUCUCUCUCUCUGUCAGAGUACUCCUGUCUGCGUCUCUCUCUCUCUCUCUGUUAGAGUACUCCUGUCUGCAUCUCUCUGUCAGAGUACUCCUGUCUGCGUCUCUCUCUCCGUUACUUAUAGUACUCCUGUCUGCGUCUCUCUCUCUCUGUUACUUAGAGUACUCCCGUCUGCAUCUCUGUCAGAGUACUCCUGUCUGCGUCUCUCUC
Molecule: non-coding RNA, 659 nt
Organism: Pelobates cultripes (western spadefoot toad)
Lineage: Eukaryota; Metazoa; Chordata; Amphibia; Anura; Pelobatidae
Source: the annotation of a GenBank genome assembly